Molecule: ribosomal RNA, 460 nt
Filed under: uncultured bacterium
Lineage: Bacteria
Description: partial 16S ribosomal RNA
Rfam family: Bacterial small subunit ribosomal RNA
Source: RNAcentral
CCUACGGGUGGCAGCAGUGAGGAAUAUUGGUCAAUGGGCGCGAGCCUGAACCAGCCAAGUAGCGUGAAGGAUGACUGCCCUACGGGUUGUAAACUUCUUUUAUCGGGGAGUAAAGUGCGGCACGUGUACCGUUUUGUAUGUACCUUAUGAAUAAGGAUCGGCUAACUCCGUGCCAACAGCCGCGGUAAUACGGAGGAUCCGAGCGUUAUCCGGAUUUAUUGGGUUUAAAGGGAGCGUAGGUGGGUGGUUAAGUCAGUUGGGAAAGUUUGCGGCUUAAACGCAAAAUUGCAGUUGAUACUGGGUGUCUUGAGUGGAGCAGAGGUAGGCGGAAUUCGUGGUGUAGCGGUGAAAUGCUUAGAUAUCACGAAGAACACCGAUUGCGAAGGCAGCUUACGGGCCCGCGACUGACGCUGAUGCACGAAAGUGUGGGUAUCAAACAGGAUUAGAUACCCCAGUAGUC